AGUUUGGUGUGGAAGAGAAAUAAUUGUUUGAAAAAGAAAAGAAAAGAGAAAGAAAUAAUAAUUAUAAUAUGUUAUUAUUACUAUUUUGAUUAAAAAUCCUUCUCAUUUCACGUGCCCUUAUUCUUAUUCACCUUCUUCCUUCUUCUUCUUCCUCGUGUGUUUCAGUCGGCUGACCCUCUGCUUUCUUUCUUCUUCUUUCUGAUCAACUGCUCCCCCACCCACUACCGUCUUCGUUAGUCGAGUCACUUCCGUCCGUUUAAGCCAUAGCCUCCACGAAGCCGAUUGUCCCGUUUGAGUCGUACAACCCAUUGAAGCAUCGCCCUAUCUUCAUCAGCUGCGUCGCGGGCAAGCUCAGUCGAAGCCAUCGGUUCAUCCAACCGUUCGCGUAGGGUUUCUCUCUCGGUUUGUCAAUUGCCCGGUUGCCUCCAUCUUUCAAGCCGCACACGUCUCUGUCUCUUCCAGUCCUGCCUGCAAGUCGACGCUCACCUCUCCUAACCAGUCGCUCAGAUCUGUUUUGCAUGCCAUUUCGACUCAAUUCAUACGGCGCUACCGUUUCUUCCUUGUUGUGAACCAUUGGGUUUAUUUUUGGUACUAUUUGAAGUCAGCUAGCGAAUCCUUAAAUUUUCAAUAGGUUUGGGGUUGGAGUUUGAUUCUUCAUCUAUUUGGGUUGCUUUAUUGGACUAAUUUAGUAUGAUAAAGGAGCUUAAUUAUAGUGAAGUUACGAGGGAAAGGUAAUACAAGAGGUAGACUGACGAGAGACAAGGACAUGUGAUCGCCCUAAAGAGAAUUAUGUCAAAAAUGCUUCCGUUUAUUGUUUUAUUGUUUUUAAGUUUUUUUUUAAAAUUAAAAUGAGUUUAUGGUUAGUGACUUUAUAAAUAGUACUUUUGAAAUUUUAUUUUGUUUGAAAUAGGGCCCAAAUAAAAUUUAUUUGAUGUUUAUGCGAGAUUUUAUGACUUUUUAUGUUAAACGAAGUGUUUUUAUGUGAAAGUAAGGAUCUCAGCUUAGAUAGAAAAGUUGGAUCGUUACGGUAUAAGAAAAUUUCCCUUUUUAAAUCCUUUAUCAAAACUUUGGAAAGAAAUCAUUUCUUCUUGAUUCUUUCAUCGUUAUUCAAAUUGCAACAUA
Long non-coding RNA from Cucumis sativus (cucumber), 1122 nucleotides. RefSeq lists it as uncharacterized. The transcript is spliced from 4 exons. The record is from RefSeq and is a predicted model, not a curated record. NCBI's taxonomy places the organism in Eukaryota, Viridiplantae, Streptophyta, Magnoliopsida, Cucurbitales, Cucurbitaceae.